RNAcentral lists this long non-coding RNA (885 nucleotides) under Lathyrus oleraceus (garden pea). RNAcentral describes it as "Pisum sativum (pea) long non-coding RNA (PSAT_LNC020481)". Lineage: Eukaryota; Viridiplantae; Streptophyta; Magnoliopsida; Fabales; Fabaceae. The record is from RNAcentral.
UAUUCAUCCAAUUAUCCAUUUAAUAAACCAAAAAAAUCCAUUUUACAAUUUCCAAAAUCAAUAUCCAAUUCACUAUCCAACAAUAUCCAAUAAUGCAUAUAGAUUCACCAUGUACAUAACAAUUUACACUAAGCAAAAAGAAAGCAUAUUGAAGAUGAAAACAAGCUGCAACACAGGAGCUGUAACGUACAACUACAAGCCAAAACGGAAAAGCCACGCUGCUGCAAUACAAAACACGGUUGAAACAGAAGAAGAAAACCAAACGGUAACGGCACAAAAUCAUGAAAACGACCAAAGUAAAAGGCAUUGCAAUCUAAAGCCGAUGCAAGCAUGAAAUGGCGAUGCCAGCUGCGGAAAAUGCAACAUCGAAAUGCAGUAAAAACGUAACAUGAACAGGAAGUAUCCAAAUGAAAAGCAGGAAAAACAAAAGGCCAAUAUAACUCACCGAAAAAACCGAACUGAAUCCAAGCUGAAUAACAAGCUCAACAUACUCAACCUUCAAAAACAGAAUUUUAUAACCUUCACUUCAAUAACCAAUUCUCAAAAGCUUAUUCUAACUGCCAUGAUACUUAUCAACUUAGAUUCUGAACAACAAUUCUAACCACUCUUCCAACAGAACUUUAACUGAACAAAAGUCUCUUCUUCAACCAACUUCUAACCGACUCUUAAACCAAUCCCUAACAGAAUGCUAACCAACCUCUAGAACCAUCUUCAACUUUCUUCGAUAGAACCUCUUAACAAUCAGCAUCACAGACCCCACUCUCCCAAAUUGAGUUCUGAAUCGCCCUCAACCUUUCAACCAAAAGACCCAGAGAAGAUAGAGAACAAGAGGAUGAAGAAAAAUCGAAAAAAGGAAGAACAAUGCGUCAAAAGGAUUUUCGAUAC